This 497-nucleotide ribosomal RNA is filed under the name uncultured bacterium. RNAcentral describes it as "partial 16S ribosomal RNA". It matches the Rfam family "Bacterial small subunit ribosomal RNA", at positions 28 to 507 of the family's 1533-position model. The record is from RNAcentral.
GAUGAACGCUGGCGGCGUGCCUAAUACAUGCAAGUCGAGCGAACGGACGAGAAGCUUGCUUCUCUGAUGUUAGCGGCGGACGGGUGAGUAACACGUGGAUAACCUACCUAUAAGACUAGGAUAACUUCGGGAAACCGGAGCUAAUACCGGAUAAUAUUUUGAACCGCAUGGUUCAAAAGUAAAAGACGGUCUUGCUGUCACUUAUAGAUGGAUCCGCGCUGCAUUAGCUAGUUGGUAAGGUAACGGCUUACCAAGGCAACGAUGCAUAGCCGACCUGAGAGGGUGAUCGGCCACACUGGAACUGAGACACGGUCCAGACUCCUACGGGAGGCAGCAGUAGGGAAUCUUCCGCAAUGGGCGAAAGCCUGACGGAGCAACGCCGCGUGAGUGAUGAAGGUCUUCGGAUCGUAAAACUCUGUUAUUAGGGAAGAACAUAUGUGUAAGUAACUGUGCACAUCUUGGCGGUACCUAAUCAGAAAGCCACGGCUAACUACGUG